This is a long non-coding RNA of Aptenodytes forsteri (emperor penguin), 227 nucleotides long. RefSeq lists it as uncharacterized. The record is from RefSeq and is a predicted model, not a curated record. NCBI's taxonomy places the organism in Eukaryota, Metazoa, Chordata, Aves, Sphenisciformes, Spheniscidae. The transcript has 2 exons.
CUGCGUGGGCCCACCUGUGGGCAGCGCUCCCUGGAAAGCGCAGGGCGUGGGCUUUGCAUACCCACGGAAGGAUGAAAGCGGAUACUCAGAACGUGGAUCACCCCCCCCAUACCACCUCCGUCUGCCCUCAUUUUUGUCCUGCUAUGGGGAAAUAACCCAGAACUGACAGUGCUGGGGAUGUAGCUGGCUCGGCAGUAAGCAAUAAAUAAGAUCUGGAUGCAGAACAG